AUUUCUUUGGGCGAUGGGGUCCGCCCUAAUUGCCAAAAGGCUGAUGACUCCUAUCUCUAU
Molecule: non-coding RNA, 60 nt
Filed under: Kosmotoga olearia TBF 19.5.1
Lineage: Bacteria; Thermotogati; Thermotogota; Thermotogae; Kosmotogales; Kosmotogaceae
Also listed under: 1 other name
Description: Fluoride riboswitch aptamer (crcB RNA motif)
Rfam family: Fluoride riboswitch aptamer (crcB RNA motif)
Source: Rfam by way of RNAcentral